RNAcentral lists this ribosomal RNA (99 nucleotides) under Caerostris darwini. Lineage: Eukaryota; Metazoa; Arthropoda; Arachnida; Araneae; Araneidae. The record is from RNAcentral.
UGUUGAAUAUACCGGUUCUCGUUAGAUCACCGAAGUUAAGCAUCAUUGGGCGCGGUCAGUACUUGGGUGGGUGACCACCUGGGAACACUGUGUGCCGUU